Molecule: ribosomal RNA, 836 nt
Filed under: Campylobacter jejuni
Lineage: Bacteria; Pseudomonadati; Campylobacterota; Epsilonproteobacteria; Campylobacterales; Campylobacteraceae
Description: bacterial LSU rRNA
Rfam family: Bacterial large subunit ribosomal RNA
Source: RNAcentral
UCCUUUAAAGAAAGCGUAAUAGCUCACUGGUCUAGUGAUUUUGCGCGGAAAAUAUAACGGGGCUAAAGUAAGUACCGAAGCUGUAGACUUAGUUUACUAAGUGGUAGGAGAGCGUUCUAUUUGCGUCGAAGGUAUACCGGUAAGGAGUGCUGGAGCGAAUAGAAGUGAGCAUGCAGGCAUGAGUAGCGAUAAUUAAUGUGAGAAUCAUUAACGCCGUAAACCCAAGGUUUCCUACGCGAUGCUCGUCAUCGUAGGGUUAGUCGGGUCCUAAGUCGAGUCCGAAAGGGGUAGACGAUGGCAAAUUGGUUAAUAUUCCAAUACCAACAUUAGUGUGCGAUGGAAGGACGCUUAGGGCUAAGGGGGCUAGCGGAUGGAAGUGCUAGUCUAAGGUCGUAGGAGGUUAUACAGGCAAAUCCGUAUAACAAUACUCCGAGAACUGAAAGGCUUUUUGAAGUCUUCGGAUGGAUAGAAGAACCCCUGAUGCCGUCGAGCCAAGAAAAGUUUCUAAGUUUAGCUAAUGUUGCCCGUACCGUAAACCGACACAGGUGGGUGGGAUGAGUAUUCUAAGGCGCGUGGAAGAACUCUCUUUAAGGAACUCUGCAAAAUAGCACCGUAUCUUCGGUAUAAGGUGUGGUUAGCUUUGUAUUAGGAUUUACUCCGAAAGCAAGGAAACUUACAACAAAGAGUCCCUCCCGACUGUUUACCAAAAACACAGCACUCUGCUAACUCGUAAGAGGAUGUAUAGGGUGUGACGCCUGCCCGGUGCUCGAAGGUUAAUUGAUGGGGUUAGCAUUAGCGAAGCUCUUGAUCGAAGCCCGAGUAAACGGCGGCCGUAA